This 484-nucleotide ribosomal RNA is filed under the name uncultured bacterium. RNAcentral's name for it is "partial 16S ribosomal RNA". It matches the Rfam family "Bacterial small subunit ribosomal RNA", at positions 30 to 507 of the family's 1533-position model. The record is from RNAcentral.
AUUGAACGCUGGCGGCAGGCCUAACACAUGCAAGUCGAGCGGAUGCUGGUAGCUUGUACCUGGCUUCCGCGGCGGACGGGUGAGUAAUGCCUAGGUUUCUGCCUGGUAGAGGGUGAUAACGUCUGGCAACGGGCGCUGAUCCCGCAUACGUUCUGAGGGAGAAAGUGGGGGAUCUUCGUACCUCAUGCUCUCAUAUGAGCUUAGGUCGGAUUAGCUAGUUGGUGGGGUAAGGGCCUAGUACGGAGACGAUCCGUAACUGGUCUGAGAGGAAGAUCAGUCACACGGGAACGAGGACACGGACCAGACUCCGACGGGAGGCAGCAGUGGGGAAUAUUCGACAAGGGGCGGAAGCCUGUUCCAGACAUGCCGCGUGUGUGAAGAAGGGCUACAGAGUGUAAAGCACUUUAAGUUAGGAGGAAGGGCAGUAAGUUAAUACCUGGCUGUUAUGACGUUACCAACAGAAAAAGCACCGGCUAACUUCGUG